RNAcentral lists this non-coding RNA (69 nucleotides) under unclassified sequences. The record is from RNAcentral.
GCUGCUCAGAUGUGUUGUCUAUACGUGGUGUGCAGUAGGCUACGAGAACUAUUCUUGGAUAGAGAAAAA